This 444-nucleotide ribosomal RNA is filed under the name uncultured bacterium. RNAcentral describes it as "partial 16S ribosomal RNA". It matches the Rfam family "Bacterial small subunit ribosomal RNA", at positions 338 to 795 of the family's 1533-position model. The record is from RNAcentral.
CCUACGGGUGGCAGCAGUGAGGAAUAUUGGUCAAUGGGCGAGAGCCUGAACCAGCCAAGUCGCGUGAAGGAUGACGGCCCUACGGGUUGUAAACUUCUUUUCUCAGGGACGAAGCAAGUGACGGUACCUGAGGAAUAAGCCACGGCUAACUACGUGCCAGCAGCCGCGGUAAUACGUAGGUGGCAAGCGUUAUCCGGAUUUACUGGGUGUAAAGGGCGUGUAGGCGGGAAAGCAAGUCAGAUGUGAAAACCACGGGCCCAACCUGUGGCCUGCAUUUGAAACUGUUUUUCUUGAGUACUGGAGAGGCAGACGGAAUUCCUAGUGUAGCGGUGAAAUGCUUAGAUAUCAGGAGGAACAUCGGUGGCGUAAGCGCUUUACUGGGCCGUAAUUGACGCUGAGGAACGAAAGCCAGGGUAGCAAAUGGGAUUAGAUACCCCUGUAGUC